UAUAUUAAAGUUGUUGCAGUUAAAAAGCUCGUAGUUGGAUUUCUGGAUCGAGCUCUCUGUCCGCCGCUGUGCGGUGCGUACUUGAGUAGUCUCGUUUCAUCCUUGCAGGGAAGCGUGUUCGACAUUAAUUUGUCGACACGGGGAACUGCAUCUUUUACUGUGAAAAAAUUAGAGUGUUUAAAGCAGGCAUUUUGCUGUGAAUACAUUAGCAUGGAAUAAUAACAUAGGACCCUGGUUCUAUUUUGUUGGUUGGAGGCCAAGGUAAUGAUUAAUAGGGACAGUUGGGGGUAUUCAUAUUUAAUUGUCAGAGGUGAAAUUCUUGGAUUUAUGAAAGAUGAACUCAUGCGAAAGCAUUUACCAAGGAUGUUUUCAUUAAUCAAGAACGAAAGUUAGGGGAUCGAAGAGGAUUAGAUACCCUCGUAGUCUUAACCAUAAACUAUGCCGACUAGGGAUUGGCGGACGUACUUUUUAUGGCUCCGUCAGCACCUUACGAGAAAUCAAAGUCUUUGGGUUCCGGGGGGAGUAUGGUCGCAAGGCUGAAACUUAAAGG
This 550-nucleotide ribosomal RNA is filed under the name uncultured marine eukaryote. Its description in RNAcentral is "SSU rRNA". It matches the Rfam family "Eukaryotic small subunit ribosomal RNA", at positions 600 to 1150 of the family's 1831-position model. The record is from RNAcentral. RNAcentral also lists the same sequence under 1 other name.